UAAGAAACAUAAUUUAAACUAAUUCCAAUCCCCUAAACUCCUAAGUUCAUAGAUCCAAGAAUAAGUAAACUAGAUCCCAAAAAUCAGAAUUCUUUAGACCCAAACCAAUUGUGGCCCAACACAGAUUAGGCCCAAAUGAACCAGACCAGAUUACAGGUCCAAAUCAGAUCUCGGGCCCAAACCAAACCAGCCCACAAAUCCAAUCAGACCCAACUCAGCCCAAAGACAGGUCCCUAGCCCAA
Molecule: long non-coding RNA, 242 nt
Filed under: Phoenix dactylifera (date palm)
Lineage: Eukaryota; Viridiplantae; Streptophyta; Magnoliopsida; Arecales; Arecaceae
Description: long non-coding RNA (PDAC_LNC001862)
Source: RNAcentral